Molecule: non-coding RNA, 78 nt
Organism: Nephila pilipes (giant wood spider)
Lineage: Eukaryota; Metazoa; Arthropoda; Arachnida; Araneae; Nephilidae
Source: the annotation of a GenBank genome assembly
GCGUAGGCGAGAUGGCUUAGUUGUUUAAAGCGCCUGUAUAGUAAAUAGGAGUUUAUGAGUUCGAAUCUCCUCUGUGCA